This 253-nucleotide ribosomal RNA is filed under the name uncultured bacterium. RNAcentral describes it as "partial 16S ribosomal RNA". It matches the Rfam family "Bacterial small subunit ribosomal RNA", at positions 524 to 776 of the family's 1533-position model. The record is from RNAcentral.
UACGUAGGGUGCGAGCGUUAAUCGGAAUUACUGGGCGUAAAGCGUGCGCAGGCGGUUUGGUAAGACAGGCGUGAAAUCCCCGGGCUCAACCCGGGAACUGCGUCCGAUACUGGAAGGCUUGAAUCCGGGAGAGGGAUGCGGAAUUCCAGGUGUAGCGGUGAAAUGCGCAGAUAUCAGGAGGAACACCGGUGGCGAAGGCGGGUCUCUGGGCAGUAACUGACGCUGAGGAGCGAAAGCGUGGGGAGCGAACAGG